UUACCCACUCCCGGCACGGGGAGGUAGUGACGAAAAAUAACGAUACGGGACUCAUCCGAGGCCCCGUAAUCGGAAUGAGCACACUUUAAAUCCUUUAACGAGUAUCCAUUGGAGGGCAAGUCUGGUGCCAGCAGCCGCGGUAAUUCCAGCUCCAAUAGCGUAUAUUAAAGUUGUUGCGGUUAAAAAGCUCGUAGUCGGACUUGUGUCACACGCUGCCGGUUCACCGCCCGUCGGUGUUUAACUGGCAUGCACGUGCUGACGUCCUGCCGGUGGCCCAAGCGGGUCCGGGAGCUCUGGGUGCGGGAUUCCCUUCGGGGGCCCGCCUCGAACCCGGUGUCCUGGGAGGGCCUACUCAUACCCCUCGCGGUGCUCUUAACCGAGUGUCUCGAUGGGCCGGCACGUUUACUUUGAACAAAUUAGAG
This 422-nucleotide ribosomal RNA is filed under the name Parapanesthia gigantea. Its description in RNAcentral is "SSU rRNA". It matches the Rfam family "Eukaryotic small subunit ribosomal RNA", at positions 441 to 771 of the family's 1831-position model. The record is from RNAcentral. Lineage: Eukaryota; Metazoa; Arthropoda; Insecta; Blattodea; Blaberidae.